UGGGGCGUCGCCAAGCGGUAAGGCAACGGGUUUUGGUCCCGUUAUUGCGAAGGUUCGAAUCCUUCCGUCCCAG
This 73-nucleotide transfer RNA is filed under the name Isolepis setacea. RNAcentral describes it as "tRNA-Gln". It matches the Rfam family "tRNA". From Rfam's summary of the family: Transfer RNA (tRNA) molecules are approximately 80 nucleotides in length. Their secondary structure includes four short double-helical elements and three loops (D, anti-codon, and T loops). Further hydrogen bonds mediate the characteristic L-shaped molecular structure. tRNAs have two regions of fundamental functional importance: the anti-codon, which is responsible for specific mRNA codon recognition, and the 3' end, to which the tRNAs corresponding amino acid is attached (by aminoacyl-tRNA synthetases). tRNAs cope with the degeneracy of the genetic code in two manners: having more than one tRNA (with a specific anti-codon) for a particular amino acid; and 'wobble' base-pairing, i.e. permitting non-standard base-pairing at the 3rd anti-codon position. Lineage: Eukaryota; Viridiplantae; Streptophyta; Magnoliopsida; Poales; Cyperaceae. The record is from RNAcentral. RNAcentral also lists the same sequence under 18 other names.